This 704-nucleotide ribosomal RNA is filed under the name uncultured Pseudomonas sp. RNAcentral's name for it is "bacterial SSU rRNA". It matches the Rfam family "Bacterial small subunit ribosomal RNA", at positions 844 to 1533 of the family's 1533-position model. Lineage: Bacteria; Pseudomonadati; Pseudomonadota; Gammaproteobacteria; Pseudomonadales; Pseudomonadaceae. The record is from RNAcentral.
UGGCGCAGCUAACGCGAUAAGUCGACCGCCUGGGGAGUACGUCCGCAAGGUUAAAACUCAAAUGAAUUGACGGGGGCCCGCACAAGCGGUGGAGCAUGUGGUUAAUUCGAAGCAACGCGAAGAACCUUACCUGGCCUUGACAUGUCCGGAAUCUUGCAGAGAUGCGAGAGUGCCUUCGGGAAUCGGAACACAGGUGCUGCAUGGCUGUCGUCAGCUCGUGUCGUGAGAUGAUGGGUUAAGUCCCGUAACGAGCGCAACCAUUGUCCUUAGUUACCAGCACCUCGGGUGGGCACUCUAAGGAGACUGCCGGUGACAAACCGGAGGAAGGUGGGGAUGACGUCAAGUCAUCAUGGCCCUUACGGCCAGGGGUACACACGUGCUACAAUGGUCGGUACAGAGGGUUGCCAAGCCGCGAGGCGGAGCUAAUCCCAUAAAACCGAUCGUAGUCCGGAUCGCAGUCUGCAACUCGACUGCGUGAAGUCGGAAUCGCUAGUAAUCGUGAAUCAGAAUGUCACGGUGAAUACGUUCCCGGGCCUUGUACACACCGCCCGUCACACCAUGGGAGUGGGUUGCUCCAGAAGUAGCUAGUCUAACCGCAAGGGGGACGGUUACCACGGAGUGAUUCAUGACUGGGGUGAAGUCGUAACAAGGUAGCCGUAGGGGAACCUGCGGCAGGAUCACCUCCUGAAGCUUGGAUUCCCGGG